This 493-nucleotide ribosomal RNA is filed under the name uncultured bacterium. Its description in RNAcentral is "partial 16S ribosomal RNA". It matches the Rfam family "Bacterial small subunit ribosomal RNA", at positions 30 to 523 of the family's 1533-position model. The record is from RNAcentral.
AUUGAACGCUGGCGGCAUGCCUUACACAUGCAAGUCGAACGGUAACAGGUUAAGCUGACGAGUGGCGAACGGGUGAGUAAUAUAUCGGAACGUGCCCAGUCGUGGGGGAUAACGUAGCGAAAGCUACGCUAAUACCGCAUACGAUCUACGGAUGAAAGCGGGGGAUCGCAAGACCUCGCGCGAUUGGAGCGGCCGAUAUCAGAUUAGGUUGUUGGUGAGGUAAAGGCUCACCAAGCCUGCGAUCUGUAGCUGGUCUGAGAGGACGACCAGCCACACUGGAACUGAGACACGGUCCAGACUCCUACGGGAGGCAGCAGUGGGGAAUUUUGGACAAUGGACGCAAGUCUGAUCCAGCAAUGCCGCGUGCAGGACGAAGGCCUUCGGGUUGUAAACUGCUUUUGUACGGAACGAAACGGCGAGCUCUAAUACAGUUUGCUAAUGACGGUACCGUAAGAAUAAGCACCGGCUAACUACGUGCCAGCCGCCGCCGUAA